RNAcentral lists this small RNA (156 nucleotides) under Arabidopsis thaliana (thale cress). RNAcentral describes it as "ATSL304570". The record is from RNAcentral. Lineage: Eukaryota; Viridiplantae; Streptophyta; Magnoliopsida; Brassicales; Brassicaceae.
UUUAUAUAUCCUAUCGGCUAAUCUGGUUAGUAUCGGUAGAAAUGCACCGAGGUGCUACAGAGAUUAAUGCUAGGGAUAGUCAGACCGCUUGUAUUUCUGACUAUCAAGUAAAUCUACGCCCAACUCACAUAUUUCCCAAACAAAUGUGAUUUUUUU